RNAcentral lists this unclassified non-coding RNA (402 nucleotides) under soil metagenome. RNAcentral describes it as "partial contains 5.8S ribosomal RNA, internal transcribed spacer 2, and large subunit ribosomal RNA". The stretch from base 1 to 121 matches the Rfam family "5.8S ribosomal RNA", at positions 35 to 154 of the family's 154-position model. The record is from RNAcentral.
GAUGAAGAACGCAGCGAAAUGCGAUAAGUAAUGUGAAUUGCAGAAUUCAGUGAAUCAUCGAAUCUUUGAACGCACCUUGCGCCCUUUGGCUAUUCUGAAGGGCAUGCCUGUUUGAGUAUCAUGAACACCUCAACUCUCAUGGUUCGCCAUGAUGAGCUUGGACUUUGGGGGUCUUGCUGGCCUACAGUCGGCUCCUCUCAAAUGAAUCAGCUUGCCAGUGUUUGGUAGAGUCGCAGGUGUGAUAACUAUCUACGCUUGUGGUUUUCUGCCAGAUAACCUUCAGUGAUGGAGGUUCGCUGGAGCUUAUAAAUGUCUCUCCCCAGUGAGGACAGCUUUUUGAACGUUUGAUCUCAAAUCAGGUAGGACUACCCGCUGAACUUAAGCAUAUCAAUAAGCGGAGGA